GACUACAGGGGUAUCUAAUCCUGUUUGCUCCCCACGCUUUCGUGCAUCAGCGUCAGUAUUGGCUUAGAGAGCUGCCUUCGCAAUCGGUGUUCUGUGUCAUAUCUAAGCAUUUCACCGCUACAUGACACAUUCCGCCCUCCUCAACCAUACUCAAGAUCGUCAGUAUCAAUGGCAAUUCUACAGUUGAGCUGUAGGCUUUCACCACUGACUUAACAACCCGCCUACGCACCCUUUAAACCCAAUAAAUCCGGAUAACGCUUGGGACCUUCGUAUUACCGCGGCUGCUGGCACGAAGUUAGCCGUCCCUUAUUCUUCCCGUACAUUCAGCCCCGAUAGAAAUCAGGGGUUUAUUCCGGGACAAAAGAAGUUUACAAUGCAUAGCACCUUCAUCCUUCACGCGGCAUGGCUGGAUCAGCCUUGCGGCCAUUGUCCAAUAUUCCUUACUGCAGCCCCCCGUAGG
This 460-nucleotide ribosomal RNA is filed under the name uncultured Bacteroidota bacterium. RNAcentral describes it as "uncultured Bacteroidetes bacterium partial 16S ribosomal RNA". Lineage: Bacteria; Pseudomonadati; Bacteroidota. The record is from RNAcentral.